AACGAACGCUGGCGGCAUGCCUAACACAUGCAAGUCGAACGAGACCUUCGGGUCUAGUGGCGCACGGGUGCGUAACGCGUGGGAACCUGCCCUUAGGUUCGGAAUAACUCCCCGAAAGGGGUGCUAAUACCGGAUAAUGUCUUCGGACCAAAGAUUUAUCGCCUUUGGAUGGGCCCGCGUUGGAUUAGCUAGUUGGUAGGGUAAAAGCCUACCAAGGCGACGAUCCAUAGCUGGUCUGAGAGGAUGAUCAGCCACACUGGGACUGAGACACGGCCCAGACUCCUAGGGGAGGAGGGAGGGGGGAAUAUUGGAAAAGGGGGAAAGGCCUGACCCAGCAAUGCCGGGUGAGUAAUGAGGGCUUUGGGGUUAAAAAGCUUUUUAACCCGGAAUGAUAAGGACAGUAGGGGGAAAAUAAGCUCCGGCUACCCCCGUG
Molecule: ribosomal RNA, 433 nt
Filed under: uncultured bacterium
Lineage: Bacteria
Description: partial 16S ribosomal RNA
Rfam family: Bacterial small subunit ribosomal RNA
Source: RNAcentral